UGAGGAUGAGGAUGAGGAUGAGAAGAAGGAGAGAGGAAAAAGAAUGGAAGAAAAAUAGUGUGAAAAAUAGAAAAUGAAAUAGUGUAAAUUCUGUCAAAAUAGUGCAAUUUUGUUCUAAACAGUGUAAUGUGAUUUCAAAGAGUGCAAUUUUUUUUCAAAGAGUGUAACUUUCAUUUAAAAUAGUGCAAAAAUUUUUAAAACAGUGCAAUUGUUUUUUAAAUAGUACAAUUCCAUCUUCUUCUUCUUUCUUCUAUUUUUUUUGUCUUUAUUUUUUUAUUUUUUUUUCUACAAUUUUUUUUUCAUGCCUCUUCGCCAACGACCACUGCGCCGGCGAUGACGUCCCUAAGGACUUCCCGCUUCGAGGCUGCGACGUCGCAGCGACCUUCGCGGCAUCAGCGUUGGCAGAGAAGCAUCGCCGUCGGAAGUGGCGAAGAAAACGAAGGAGGAGGGAGAGGAAAAGGGCGAGAAAAAGCGAGGAAGGGCGAGAAAGACGUCGUCGUCGGAGGCGGGUCGUCGUCGGAGAGGGGAAAAAAAAAGAGGAGUUGCGGUGCAGUCGUGAUGGGGUUGGAGGCGAGGAAGCACAGGGUGCGUGGGUGAGGGUGAGAGCAUGAGGGCGAGAGGCGAGGCGGGCUGUUUCCGCCUCCGCCUCCGCCUCCGCCUACGCCUCCGCCUCCGCCUACGCCAUCGCUGCGUUCUUUAGAGAGAGAGAAAAAAAAAAGAACGAGAGAAAAAAAAAAAAAGAGAAGAAGAAAAAGUACUAAGGGUAUUUUGGUCAGUUUGCUGAAAAUCUGGCCUGAAUCUGCAAAAACGAAAAAGGUGGCCCGGUUUUGCAAAAGCCAAAAUAAGUGGAUUUUUUUGCAAAUUGGCCUUUUGAAUUCGAUGAUAGAUUUUUUUUUCUUAUUUAGUUGAAAAAAAUGACAUCACUAUAAGCGUCUCCUUUUUGUUAGUUGGCAAAAAAGAAUAAACUUUGUCCCAAAAAAAAAAAAGGCCAAUUUGCAUUAAAAAUUCACUAGUUUUAGGCUUUUGCAAAAGUGGGCCACCUUUUUCGUCUUUGCAGAUUCGGUCCUAUUUUUCAGCAAACUGACCAAAAUACCCUGACCAAAAUACCCUUAUACCUCUUUCUCUUUCCUCUUCUUUUUUCUCUCGUUUUUUUUUUCUUUUUCUUCCCAGAGAGCGGCGGAGGCAGAGGCGGAGGCGGCCCGCUUCGGUUUUAUCUGGCGCAUCCUUACCCUCGCCCGCGCACCCCUCGCCGAGGCUGCGCUGCGAUUUUUUUUUUCCCUUUUCGACCCU
This 1290-nucleotide long non-coding RNA is filed under the name Ananas comosus (pineapple). Its description in RNAcentral is "long non-coding RNA (ACOM_LNC034617)". The record is from RNAcentral. Lineage: Eukaryota; Viridiplantae; Streptophyta; Magnoliopsida; Poales; Bromeliaceae.